UUCAGCGGCGGACGGGUGAGUAAUGCCUAGGAAUCUGCCUGGUAGUGGGGGACAACGUUUCGAAAGGAACGCUAAUACCGCAUACGUCCUACGGGAGAAAGCAGGGGACCUUCGGGCCUUGCGCUAUCAGAUGAGCCUAGGUCGGAUUAGCUAGUUGGUGAGGUAAUGGCUCACCAAGGCGACGAUCCGUAACUGGUCUGAGAGGAUGAUCAGUCACACUGGAACUGAGACACGGUCCAGACUCCUACGGGAGGCAGCAGUGGGGAAUAUUGGACAAUGGGCGAAAGCCUGAUCCAGCCAUGCCGCGUGUGUGAAGAAGGUCUUCGGAUUGUAAAGCACUUUAAGUUGGGAGGAAGGGCAGUAAGUUAAUACCUUGCUGUUUUGACGUUACCGACAGAAUAAGCACCGGCUAACUUCGUGCCAGCAGCCGCGGUAAUACGAAGGGUGCAAGCGUUAAUCGGAAUUACUGGGCGUAAAGCGCGCGUAGGUGGUUUGUUAAGUUGGAUGUGAAAGCCCCGGGCUCAACCUGGGAACUGCAUCCAAAACUGGCAAGCUAGAGUAUGGCAGAGGGUGGUGGAAUUUCCUGUGUAGCGGUGAAAUGCGUAGAUAUAGGAAGGAACACCAGUGGCGAAGGCGACCACCUGGGCUA
Molecule: ribosomal RNA, 649 nt
Filed under: Pseudomonas songnenensis
Lineage: Bacteria; Pseudomonadati; Pseudomonadota; Gammaproteobacteria; Pseudomonadales; Pseudomonadaceae
Description: bacterial SSU rRNA
Rfam family: Bacterial small subunit ribosomal RNA
Source: RNAcentral